AUUGAACGCUGGCGGCAGGCCUAACACAUGCAAGUCGAACGGUAACAGGAAGAAGCUUGCUUCUUUGCUGACGAGUGGCGGACGGGUGAGUAAUGUCUGGGAAACUGCCUGAUGGAGGGGGAUAACUACUGGAAACGGUAGCUAAUACCGCAUAACGUCGCAAGACCAAAGAGGGGGACCUUCGGGCCUCUUGCCAUCGGAUGUGCUCAGAUGGGAUUAGCUAGUAGGUGGGGUAACGGCUCACCUAGGCGACGAUCCCUAGCUGGUCUGAGAGGAUGACCAGCCACACUGGAACUGAGGCACGGUCCAGACUCCUACGGGAGGCAGCAGUGGGGAAUAUUGCACAAUGGGCGCAAGCCUGAUGCAGCCAUGCCGCGUGUAUGAAGAAGGCCUUCGGGUUGUAAAGUACUUUCAGCGGGGAGGAAGGGAGUAAAGUUAAUACCUUUACUCAUUGACGUUACCCGCAGAAGAAGCACCGGCUAACUCCGUG
This 490-nucleotide ribosomal RNA is filed under the name uncultured bacterium. Its description in RNAcentral is "partial 16S ribosomal RNA". It matches the Rfam family "Bacterial small subunit ribosomal RNA", at positions 30 to 507 of the family's 1533-position model. The record is from RNAcentral.